RNAcentral lists this unclassified non-coding RNA (262 nucleotides) under plant metagenome. RNAcentral describes it as "partial contains small subunit ribosomal RNA, internal transcribed spacer 1, and 5.8S ribosomal RNA". The record is from RNAcentral.
UCUCCGUUGGUGAACCAGCGGAGGGAUCAUUACCGAGUUUACAACUCCCAAACCCCUAUGUGAACGUUACCAAACUGUUGCCUCGGCGGGAAAUUCAUGCCCCGGGCGCGUCGCAGCCCCGGACCAAGGCGCCCGCCGGAGGACCAACCAACACUCUAUUGUAUGUCCCUCGCGGACUUUUAUAAUUCUGAACCAUCUCGGCGCCCCUAGCGGGCGUUUCGAAAAUGAAUCAAAACUUUCAACAACGGAUCUCUUGGUUCUG